AGCUCCAGUAGCGUAUAUUAAAGUUGUUGCAGUUAAAAAGCUCGUAGUUGGAUUUCUGGUACGCUGCGCCUGGCCCGCCUCGGUUACGAGUGUGUGUGCCGGUGCGCGGUUGCCAUCCUUCUAGAAAACGUAGCUACCCUUCACUGGGCCGGCUGCCGUGAUCUAGAUCUUUUACUUUGAAAAAAUUAGAGUGUUUAAAGCAGGCUUUCGCUAUGAAUACAUUAGCAUGGAAUAAUAAUUUAGGACUUUGGUCUUAUUUUGUUGGUUAUAGGAUUGAAGUAAUGAUUGAUAGGGAUAGUUGGGGGUGCUAGUAUUGAAUGGCCAGAGGUGAAAUUCUUGGAUUCAUUCAAGACUAACUUAUGCGAAAGCAUUCACCAAGGAUGUCUUCUUUAAUCAAGAA
RNAcentral lists this ribosomal RNA (400 nucleotides) under phytoplankton environmental sample. Its description in RNAcentral is "partial small subunit ribosomal RNA". It matches the Rfam family "Eukaryotic small subunit ribosomal RNA", at positions 587 to 983 of the family's 1831-position model. The record is from RNAcentral.